Molecule: long non-coding RNA, 438 nt
Organism: Hordeum vulgare subsp. vulgare (domesticated barley)
Lineage: Eukaryota; Viridiplantae; Streptophyta; Magnoliopsida; Poales; Poaceae
Exons: 2
Source: RefSeq, a predicted model, not a curated record
GACAUGAGUCCAAGCCCGGGAGGCAAAGCACCAAUGACGACGACGCCGACGCCGGCCCCGGCCUGUAUCAGGGCUGGCGCUGCCUGCCGGACGCCCAAAGCCAAAGCGCAGACCCCACGCCACCGCGGCUCGCACGUGCCGGUGCCGGGGCCACCAUCAGGCCGCCUGACAUGUCGACCCUGGACUGCUGGGCUCCGGACGGGCCCCGGUUGGCAUUGAACGGGUGUCGGUGGGCGGUUGGCGGGAGGAGCCCAGUGCUGCCGCUGCGUGAUCUGAUAAUAACUCAGGAAUGGGGCUGCUGCUGCUGCUGCUGGCUGCUACCAACCGUGCGUUCGGCGCCACCGGCACCGGAAUACCAGCUGCGUUGCGUUGCGUUGUGUUGCAUCUUUGCAUGGAUGGAUUAUGUUUAAUGUACGUGAGCUGCCACCCAACCCACCA